AUUGGUGGUAGCUGGAUUGCAAAUCUAUGUUCGAGUACACACACGACCCUUGCAACUGAUCGAACAAGUCAUCGAUUCGGGGUAGUGGGUACUUUUUCUUGAUCGUGACUCUGUUCAAUUCCCGAUAGUCUACGCAGAGUCGGAACAAUCCGUCUUUCUUCCUCACGAACAACACCGGGGCUCCCCACGGUGAUACACUUGGCCGGAUAAAUUGCUUGUCGAGGAGAUCUUGCAGUUGACUCCUUAACUCCUUCAAUUCCGCCGGCGCCAUUCGAUACGGAGCCUUCGAGAUCGGUGCGGUACCGGGAACCAAGUCUAUGACGAACUCGAUCUCCCGAUCCGGUGGUAUCCCCGGCAACUCCGCAGAAACACAUCCGGAAACUCUCGCACCUCCAAUAACUCCUCUAAUGUUGGAGCUACUCGAUCCACCUCCACAACGGUCGCCAAGAACGCCGCACAACCGUUGCUCACCAACUUUCUUGCUCUUGUCGCAGACACCGUCGCGAUGAAGCACGAGCUCUGACAAGCCCGAUAGGUGAAUUCUUCUUGUCCUGGCUCACGGAAGGUGAUCACCCUGCUCUUGCAGUCGAUCGUUGCGUGAUAUUUCGAGAGCUAGUCCAUAUCCAGAAUGACGUCAUAAGCCUCAAGCUUUGUGAGUUCCAGUGUCCGGAUAGGCAUAAUCCAGUCGCCUAUUUGUACGGGACACGACGCACACUCCGAGCAGGUGUUAAAUGUUGACCCAGGGCCCUCCACUCGCCACUUGUCACUCGCCUCUAUGAGUAUGCCAUGCAUGCGUGCGAAUGAUCUACUUAUGAAUGAAUGCGUGGCUCCUGUAUCAAAUAGAGCCCUGGCGCGAACUACGUUAAUUAAAACCAUACCUGCCACAAGGCGAUGCUCCUCCGCCUCCGCAGGUUCCUCAGCCUGGACCUGAGCGGCGAACACCCGUCCGCUCGGGGCCGAUCGCGUCGCUUCAUGUUGACGCGGCAUCAUCGCGCGUCCCGUCGACGCAGCUGUCGGUGGAGCUCCUCCAUAGUGAGCCGGAAUCGCCGGCGCCGAUGCAAUCGAUGGGGCAGGUGAGGCUCCUCCUCUCGGGCAGUCCCGAAUGAAGUCCCGGUUGCCCACACUUAUAGCACUUGCCUCGGCCUUGCUCACAGCGCGAGACUGGGUGGUCUCUGCAGCAUACAAUGCAUCGCCGUGCUCCACUGCCCUUCUGUUGAGUGUGCGGAUACUUCAGGGGUUUCUUAUAGAGUGUUUGUCCCCCCGAACUACCGCAGCCUUGGCGUUUCUUGCCCUUGUCCUUAGACUCGGCCAAAGCCUCGCGCUUCUCCCGAACGUGGACAUCUCCGUGCUCCGCCCAUAGUGCUCGAUCAAAGACCUCCGCAAACGUCGUGAGCUUGAGUAUUUGCACGGCCUUGUAAAUUCCCGACCGAAGUCCUCACAAGAACCACUCGGCCUGGUCCCGGUCAUCCUUUACAACAUCCGGGACACAAUCGAUAAUACGGGAGAAUUCUUGUUCGUACUCCGCCACUGAGCGGUCCCCUUGCUCUAGCUUGCGGAACUUCUCCUUGAGCUUCCGCUUCAAUGUAUCGGGGAAAUAGUUGGCGAACAUCUCCCUCUUGAAUUCCUCCCACAGCAUCGGCGGAAGGCCGGGAAGCCAAUCCCGUUUGACGCGUUUCCACCAAACUUUCGCCGCCUUUUCCAAGCAGUGGGUGGCGAGAUACACCUUGUCCCUCUCCAAGGUACGCAAGUCGUCGAAGAGGGUUUCCAUCGAGUCGAUCCAAGACUCGACCAUCUCCGGUUCCACCUUCUCUCCCUCAAAGGUUGGCGAAUGGAACUUGUUGAACUUGAUAAGAGCCGCUAAUGCGCGCUCUCCUUCCACGUCUUCGGCGGACACGUCGGGUGUAGCCGAUCCCGAUGCCGCCGGUGGUACGAUCGCUGGCGGUGGGCGUGCCGUCACCGGAACCGCCGCUAUGCCCUCACCCUCUGCCGCUCCGGGUAUAUGAGUCGUGGGUGCGGGCGGACCACUGCCCUCAUUCGCCGUCGGAGCCACCGCCGCGAUCUGCCGCUCCAAUAGAUCCUGGAGCCGCUCAAAUCGGGUCUGCUGGCGCUGCACUACAUUGGUCAGCGCGGUCACUUGCGCUUGCAACCGAUCGAUCACGCUCGGUUCUUCCUGCUCGGGCACCUCAGGAAUCGAUGCUCGGGCAGAUCUACGCGUGUAGCGUCUUGGAGACAUUAGUCCCUGAAACGCAAAUACUUGGUUAGUCAUCUUAACCAAUUACCUCGUCGCAAUUACGACACAUGACGACUCAACCACAAAUCGGGCGGAAGCACACAAGCGCACUCGUUCUAGACUCUUGGUAUCAUGUCAUCGGCCGCUGACACAACCACCUCAAGACAAGAACUCCUACAACUUGAGUCCGUCUCUAAUCACAACUAGAGACAUAUUACCAGCUUCGACCCAAUCAAAUUAACUUCCGCCAUCGCUAUAGGUUCACGUUUCGCUCACGCACCUAUAACCUUAGGGCUUACCAACCUAGGGUCUCCUAGGUCGUCCUAGACUCUCCCUUUACCUGCUCUUAUUGCUCUGAUACCACAACUGUUGUCACGCCCCGCCCCGAAACCACUACCAAUUUGGCACGGUUCGGCCGCGGCGGCGGGCCGCCGAACGGACAGCACCUCCCCUGUCCGCCCAAGGCUCAACGACAGGAAUGUGUACAAGAAUUUACCCCGGAAUUAAAUUCUAGACAUACACAUUCACAAGGGCACAAACAGUGCCAACAAAACAAAGAGCAAGCAAUCCACAAGAUAAAACAAGUGAAAUAAAGAGAGUACUUCAAGAACUAUUACAUUAGUUCCAUCAUUUCAUUUACAUGAAUACAUUUUUCAUCUUCAAAAUACAUAGCUCUCCGAAUCCUCAUCUACAAUGAUCUCUCUCAAUACAUAGGUGUGCUAAUGCAGAAAAGAACGCUACUAUACUACCACGGUCUCACUGAUCGGGCGCGAUGCCCUUGCCGCGGUCCUCUCUCUGCAGCCCUGAACCUACCACUGGAAAUAGAGUGGGGUGAGAACUAUCUUCCAUAGUUCCCAGUGGGCUCGGCCGCCGACUCUGCCGAUCUCCCCACUAGGUCCAAGUGGGCACAAGUAACAACAGAUAGAUAAAUAGAUAUGUAUCUGAAAGCUGUAAAUGCGAUAGUAGGAAAACUAUGCUACUAUGCCCAUAAUCAUGAAUAUGAAUGCAUGCAUCAUAUAAUAAAGGUUUGCUACCAUGCUAACAAAUUCGAUCCAUGUUCGAAUAGCUAUGUUCAAUGACAUUCUUAAACCUUUAACCUUUCCAUUUACCCAAUUUGUGGCGAGGCCCUAGGGCUCGCCCAUAACUCACCCUUCAAUCCCAAAGUGGGGAGGGAGCUCCAAGUGCACCCAAGCCCGGGACCGUCUGCGGACCUCCAUGUGGUCCGGACCUCCAAGUGGUCCUAGUCGCGCGACACUCCGGAGUACUCGACGACAAUCCCCUCCAUGUGGGGAUUGGAUGGCUAUACCAUCCCAAACGCAGACUGUGAGCUAGAUCUAUCCUCUCCAAGUGAGGAUGCCCUACAUCUAGGGUCAACAACUCAAUCAAGUCCUCUCCAAGUGAGGAUGCUCUACAACUAGAGUCAAUACCCAAUCGAAUCGUCUCCAAGUGAGGAAGCACUAUAACUAGGGUCCACAGCCUAAUCAAAUCCUCUCCAAGUGAGAAAGCCCUAUCACUGGGGUCAAUAUCUCUCGCGGGAUCAUUUGUUCCCGACAUUCAUGCAACGCUAUUUAGGUUAUCUAAAUUCAUUGUUCACCAGUCAUCUUCUAAGGGAUCUACCUAUCCCUAGGUCCAUCGACCUCUAGUGUUGAUUACACUACAUUAAUGCCACUCGUUAUCAUUCAACAUUUGGAUGCCACUCGUUUGUUCUUUGACAAUAACACUGCUUUCUAUGUCAUCAACACCCCCAUCGGGUUCAUCUCUAUCUCUAGCAUCAUAGGAUCUACGUUCCGACCCAAUCCUCACCUGUCUAAGUCACCAAGCGUUUCAAGUACACUAGGUUAUCAUUUAGAAAGCAUAAGGAAGGGAGCUACUAUGCAAUCCUACAAUGCAACAUGGAGAGAUGAGAUUAAAUGCAAUCUAAGACAUAGAAAGGAGUUCGAAAGCUUCGGGAUGGCACCCCCCACCUUUUACCGAUGUUAAGGCUUUAGAAACGGUCCUCGGCGAACGCUACGAAAAGGCUUUAGCCUUCUUUGCUCAAGUCAAUGGUAUCCCGGCCCUAUUUUGCCGAGAACUUCACGCCGGCUUGCCGAAUGCCAAAAUCGACUUCGCCCCCACGUUUUGUGAACCUACCAAUAGGGUUUCCAAGCCUAAUCAAUCUCAUGCAUUCACAAAAACCCCAUUUUGGAGUCCUAGGUUUGCACCUAUAGCAAACCACAAUAAAUCCCCAGAUUUCUUGGGAUUGAUCUAUUUUGAAGCUUAUUUAUGGUCCAUUUGACCCAUUCCAAAGCAUCAAAACCCAAAACUCCAAGGUUUAGAAGCUAGGGUUCAAGUGCCUACCUCUUGUGCUACACCAAAGAGAAGAGGAGAGGGAGAUGAAGUUGCCCAAAGCCUUCUCUUUGAUCUCCUCCCUCUUCUCCUCCUUUUCCUUCCCUUCUUUUCUUUCCUCUCAUUCUUGUUCUUCUCCUUCUCCUUUCCUUUCUAGAGAGAGAGAGAGCUAGAGAGCAAUGGGAGAGAGUAAGGGGGAGAAAAUGAGAGUAUGAGGGAGAGAGACUAAUAAAGGCCAUUUUGCAUUUAGACCCCUCAACUUUUCAUCCAUUGCACAGCCCUCACUGGGCAGUUUUCGCGCGGAGGGACCGGUCCCUGGUCGGGGAGAUCGGUCCCCGAGAGCUCUCCCUGCAGUCUGGGGACUUUUCGCGUUCGGGAACCGGUCUCUUCCCGGGAGACCGGUCCUCGGGAGACCGGUCCUUACCUGAGAGACCGGUCCCCGAGAGCUAAAUUUUCAGGACUUAGCCAAUCUUUGGCAUUUCUCGCUGGGGCAACAUUCAGGAACCGGUCCCUCCCUACCAAGGACCGGUUGCAUCAUGCAACCCCGCAAUACCCAGCCAAGGGAACCGGUCUCUCACCUCCAGAGACCGGUCCCCGAGAGUAACAUCAGCCCAAUGAUGCAAUUUGCACCAUUUGCUCUCGCGGACUCAACUCCAAAGCACUUUUUGUGUUUUGGGCGUUCAUAACUCCCGCAAAGGGUAUCCUCUCGACAAUUAGUCGAUCCUGAAUGAAGUACAAUUCUUGGAUUUCUAGAAUUCACUUCCUUACAGAGUGACCGGACCCCGAGAGCAAUUUCCGUGGGCAGAGGGCUUUGCCCAUUUUCACGCGUACGGGGACCGGUCCCUCCCUGAGGGACCGGUCCCCGAGAGCACAAAAACUGCAGUUGUGCAGAACUUCUCCAGCUUGCUCUCGGAGGCCAUCCUCAAUGCACUUUUGACCUCUUUGAUGCUUUCGUUCUUUCCAAAGCAUACCCGAUCGACAGUCAGUUGAUUCCAAUCGAAGUUCAACUCCCGUAUUUCGAGAAUUCACUUCCUUACACGACGGGUUAGCCACGAGAUUGAAUAGUGUAAAGCAAACUUGCAUUCAUCAUAAGCAUUCUAUUUGAGCAUAGGAUUGUAUAUAUUGUUCAGGCAUAUUAGCUGCAUUUGUUAGUUGGCUACUAUCUAUUCUUUCUUCUAUUAUGCCUGAUUUAGACCUAGUGGGAAAGUCGGCGAGGUCGGCGGCCGAACCCACUGGAAACUUUGUUGUAGUUCUCACCCCACUAUUUCCAUAGAGCCAGGGCCGAGCGAGCCGACGGAUGAUCGCGGUAAAGGUAUCGCGCCAUAGCUAGAGACCACCCGAGUUGGUUUCACAUUUUGGUUUAGUUGCAUACCCUUAUACAUCAUCUUUUUUUAUUUUGAUGAUUUUAGUUUUAUCAAAAUGUUAAAUGAACGAUGUAAAAGAAUAUCAUAGUUAAUUGCAAAUGGUUAUAUUUUGAGGAAUAUGUGAUGUACAAAAGAAAUGAUACAAAGAAUGUAAUGGAAGUUUAUUAAAGUUGAAUGCAUGUAUGUGAUUUAAAUUUAAUCAUAUUACUUGUAUAUUGAUUAGACAGUACUUUCACUUUGGCUACUGCUUGCCCUCGUGCAAGCCAUUAUGUUUGCUUCAGCAUGUGCAAAUUUUAUACUCUAUUUGUACUUAUUGUUGAGCCUUGGACGGACAGGGGAGGUUGUAACACACUGGACCUUUGCAAAUUGCGAGGUUCGAGUGUUUGGAUUGUGUCCUGAGCUUUUCCAGAUUUUCUGGGUGGGUCGUUGACAGUGUUCCGACCUAUGGUUCGAAUCCGAGAUAUUGUAGUAUUUUAUGUAACGCUAAGGUCACUAAGAGUUGGACUUAGCCUACCCUCGGAUUGCAUUCUGCACGAGGUAACGGUGACAGGUCGAUGGCUGUACCGGUACACAUUUGUACCAGUACACUUCUGAUGGUUGUACCGUACACUUGCGGCCAAAUUCGAACGAGCUCGGGUUGCCAUUUUCGUAGGAUGUGUACCGGUACACUUUCCCGGUACCCGUACACUUUGGGCAGUUUUCGAAACAGUUCGAUGCAGGGUGUUUUUGCAUUGUUACAACUCUAUAACAUACCCCACGCCCCCUUGGAGUUCCCUGGCUUGGAGGCAGGGAGAGCAAGGUAAGGGAGCUCUCUUUUCUCCCUCUUUGCUUCCCUUUGAUUAUGUUGGGUUUUUGAAGAUUAAACUCUCCUUUUGCUCUCUUUUUGCAUUUUGUGUGCUUCCUCCAUGGGAGAAGUUUGGCUUGUGUUUGGAGCUUGUUAGAUGGGUAGGGGCUCAACCCUAGCUAUUUCUAGGGUGUUGGAGCUUCUCUUGAGGUUAGUUGCUUACUUAAUUUCCUUUUGAUCAUGAUUUUUGUAUACAAACCCUAGAAAUGGGUAUUUAGGGUUUGUUUUGGAUUUUUGAUUAGAGGCUUUUGAAGCCCAAUUGAUUGGAUUAGAACCUUAUAAUCUAGGUUGAUUGGAGGGAUUUAGCUUUUUUGGAGCUUGUGAAGGAUUUUCACCAUCAUAGGUGAGUUUUGGCCCUUUCUUUGAGUUGGUUAAAGUUUAACCUAUUCGUUGUUCGUAAUCCUGUGUAUCCCUUCGCUCAUUACUUUUAGGGUAUUUUGAGACUCGUGGACAACUCCGUUCGGCAAAACGAGGGACUACACGACGGUUCGAUGGGUUUGGCCUAGCCACACAAUGAGAAAAUCUCAUUGUUGAUGGUUUAAAUGUUGUAAAUUAAAGCAUGCAUAUUUGUGUUAGAUGCAUUAUUUGUGAAUUUUAGGAUGCUUAAAAGCACAUGUUAUAUACAAUGCAUAUUUGAUCUCUAUAUAGUAGAAGUUUUCAUGUUGGCUAGGGGCCUACGGUUAGCAUUCUUAAUUGAUUUGAGAUCAUGUGCGAUCAUUACAUAUGGCAUAUAGAUUACACUCUUGGACUUAGAACGCAUGAUUGACGUGGUUGGACAUAUCACAUUAAGUGACAUAGGCUAAAGUGUAUAAAAUAGUAAGCUAAUGUCAUAAAGCGCAUUAGGCUUGGACUAGAUAUGAGUUUAGCAAGCUAAUGUCAUAAAGCGGCAUUAGACUUGAUGGAUAUGCAAAUUGCAUGUGCAUGCUAUUAUUAUGAGAAUAUGCCAAGUUAAUAGUCGCAUUGGAAAGACACAUGUCGCAUAUGAGAACACGCUAGAGAGCAUGUAUAUUAAUCUAUUAUUGAUAGAACAAGCUAACGUCUUAAAGAGACAUAGAAUGUCAAUUGAGCUUAGAUUAUAGCGAUGUUUAAGUGUCAUAAAGAGGCACUAAACAUAGUGAAUGUGGGAACUUCACUUGAGUUUUGGACUUAGUAAAGCUAAGGUCAUUGACAUUGAAUUAUCGAACGGUUAAACCUUCACUUGAGGCAUAGACUAGACACUGGGGUUGCUAGUGUGCAUUUCCAUGUUAGAGACAUGAUGACUGUUGAGUUGCAUUUCCAUGUUGGAGACAUGACGAUUGGACUAUUGAGAUUUUGACCAUGCUUGCUUGCCAUUUGUGCUCAUUCGCACAUGCUUGUGAGGAUCGCUCCCCACAAGCCGGCACUCCGGAGUUAGCCUACGCGACUUAUGUUCGCCCGUGCGGUAUCGAGUAGCCUACGGGGCCUGGAGGGAUAGACUCAUUCCUAGAGUGGGAAUGCUGGAGCUACCACUGGCACUUAAGCGGCACAAGCCGGACUACACCCGUGUAGAUCCUGAAUGAGAUUGAACCAGAAUACUAAACAACAAUUGACAAUCACUACUAGAUAGGUUAUAGUAGCUGGAUUUUCUUGACAUGCUAUGGGAUAGGGUUGGACUUUUGGGAUAUUUAGUGUACUUGACAUUAUCGCUUAUUGCAUUGUAGUACACCUUGCUGCCAGGAUAGUACAUACUAGAUAUGUAGUGGGCUCUGGAAUAUAUAUAUCACACUUUAUAGCAUUACUUGUUGCAUCAUGAUACAUUGUUUAAGUUUUGGGCAUAUCGGAUCAUGUAGAGUAGAUGUACUCCAUGUUGACAUUCAGAAUACUUGUGGCAUAGUAGAGUAGCAUUUUAAUUUCAUGCUCCAAUUACUAUUGAUAUUUUCUGUUAUCAUUAUUUGCUCGUUUGGGGCCUAGUGGUGCGAUUUGUUGCAGGUCAGUAAUUGCCCACUGGGAACUAUAAUUUAUAGUUCUCACGCCCCCUGUUUUAUGUUUUCUUUCAGUGCCUUCCACUCCGGGAGGGGCUCGGGAUCGCGGGAAAGGUUUCGCCUCGAGUUAGCUAUCGAGGGUCUUGGCGUUAGGUGGUCCACCUCUCUUUUGUUUUCUUUUGGAGAGGUUGUGAGAGUUUUGUACCUGAUUAUAGAGACCACCCUAUUUUUGUAUCUUGAGACUUAUGAUGUAUCAGUUUACUUUAUGCUUAGUAGUAUGAUUUUCUUUUGAUUCUACCUAAUAUUAGAACCUAGCUAUAUACUUGCUCUGAUAUCUCUAGUUGUAGAUCUUCUCAUGCUUUACUCUUCCGCUUUUGUGUAGACGCCUUAUAUGUGUAGACAUAUGGCGGGUCUGGGCGCGCACCGGGCGGGCCUAUGCCGGGUCCCGGGGCGUGACAGAUUAAUUUGGUAUCAGAGCCUAGGGUUGAGUCUUAGUGGACCUAGCGAACCUUAGGCCGGUUGGACUAUAGGAAUUAGACUCGUGAGAGACGAGGUCUAUUUAACUUAUGAGCGAAAGUAUCAUGAUUGGGUUUUCUUUGAUAACUCCAAAAAGGCUGGAGUUGGAUCGAAGUGUAUGCCUUCUAACUUCGUGGAGGGUUACGUUGGCGGCCGACAACGUAACAUCAGGAGUUAGUAGUUGGGACACUUCUUUACUUUCGCACGAUUUGGGGUGUGGUUAUUUGAGCGGGGUUGCGAUAGCGUGGGUUAUAUUAACUUGCACUUUUAUGAUGUUGUAGUGUUGAUGCCGACUACACGCUCUAAGUCUAUUAGAACGGACGAGGCGGCGACUUUUGAGGAAGCGGAGACAUCCGCUACCUCCCGAUCCAGUGAGGUUCGUGAGUUGAGGAGCCAACUUGCCGCCCUCACUGAUUUGGUGACGCAGCAGGCGGCGGCGGCCCAGCAGCAGGCGGACACGGCACGACGGCAGGAGGCACGGAUGCAGCGCCUGGAGGAUCUUCUAUUACAGCAGGCAGCUGUUAGGGAGGCUCAGGUCUCGGUACUACCCGCGCCAGUGGAGACAGUUGCGCCCGGGGGGUUGUCCCCUGUACUCGACACUUCGCAGACGACACUUACGGUAGCCCCUCGGGGGGAGGUAUUGGCAGCACCACCAGCUCAGGUGCCUGUGGCAGCGGCGACUUUUUCCUUGAUGGUUGAAAGAGCGGAGCGGCAGCGGCUCAUGGAUCGCCUCGAUGAGUUCCGGAGGUGCGAUCCCAGGAUCUUUGAUGGAGAGGAGGCCGACCACUGGAUCGUUGAGAAGUGGUUGAUGCAUAUGGAGAAGUUAUUCCGCGACACCUUCGUGGAGGAGAGAGAUAGAGUUUGGCUCGCCACUCACCAUUUGGACGGCGAGGCCUAUAGUUGGUGGGUGGGCAUCCAGGAUAAUCCCAACACCGACCUAGCAGCGAUUUCUUGGAAAAGAUUCAAGGAGCUCUUAUUGGAGCAUUACUUCCUCGUCCGCGUGAAGAGGAAAAUGGAGCAGGAUCUGCGCGAGAUGCGCCAGGGGGAUCAGACUGUGGCCGAGUACGAGAGGGAGUUCUCUCAGCUUCUACACUAUGCGCCCUUUGUUGUACGGGAUGACGAGGAUAAGGCUCGCACCUUCGAGCGAGGACUUCGGCCGUCGAUUUUACGGUUGGUGCAACCCUUCCACCUUCAGACUUACCAAGAUGUGGUGAACCGCGCUCUCAUCGUGGAAAGCUGCGCGGCAGAUUUGCAGGAGCGUCAAAAAGGCUCGAACAAAGGACAGGACAAGAAGCCCGCGACUGAGAGUGCGAAUCAGACGCACUCUGGGAGGCCGCCGAAACAUUCCAGGAACCGGAGCCAGUUGCGAGGACGUGGCUCAUCAGCACGGCAUAGAGGAUCCGAGCGUCGUCAGACGCUGAGCUGCGUGAUCUGCGGUGGUCGUCAUUACCCGCAGCAGUGCUCUCAGAGGCAGGGCAGGUGCUACUCGUGUGGCCAGGAGGGUCACUUCCAGUCAGACUGUCUGAGAGGUUUAGUAGCAGCGCCAUCUUCAGCAUCGGUACCAGUAUUACCGGAUCCCAGCCAGGGGACGCCUUUUUCUCACUAUCAGGCCGGGAGGCUACCCGUCCUGAGACAGACGGAGGGGUCACGACGGGCCCCGAGCGGGCGUAUGUAUGCGGCCCAGACUGAGAAGGCGGCAGCAGCCGAGUUUGUGAUUUCAGGUAUCAGUCCCUCUUGUGGCAUUUGAGUUGUGCAUUGUUUGCUAUUGGUGCAUUGCAUCUAUAUUCUGAUCGGCUAUUCGCCGAGUUGCAUGGCAUUUCGUUAGUUCGAUGUUUGCGACAUUGUGUAGCCCCUCGAGCUAGGCGAUUGAUUUGCGGGUUGCGGGUAGCAUAUUUUGCUAUGCUUGUAGAUCUCACGAGGAUUGCAUUAGUUGUAUCCCUGGCUCGGCUGUUUGCCGGAUGGUGCUUGGAGACGACCGUGCCUGGACCAUUUGGGGACUGUGGAGCCUGGGCCCGUUGGGCAGGCGCAGUCGGCUGUGUGUGACAGCGGCCCGGUACCUGUUGGUAGGGCAGAGUUUUGGUCAGGAUGGUAGUCCGAGCCUGGACCCUGGAGCGUGGAAAGCCACGUGUUGGAUCGUGAGAUCGAGGACACACUGAGUGUGUAGUUACCCAACCCGAGGAUUUGUUAGCGUUGAGCCUUUUGGCGCGUGUGGAUGAUCGGUUGAUCGGGUGUGUCGUUUCGAACGCCCUACCCCGUGAGAUGGUUCUGUGUGCCAACAAAUAGAUUGGCCUUCCUUGGUGUGGAAUUGUUGUGGGUACCUGGUACCCUUGGAUUGCGAGCUGACUUGACUCGCUUUGAGGACUGUGAGCACGAAAUAGUGCGAUUUGAGGAUUUACUUCCGCUAGAUGUGUUGAUUGUCUCCCUUACCUAAAAUUGGGUAAGUGUUGGAGAGGGUUUAGGGCCUGAGUGGCCAUUAGCUUUGGGUGGUCGAGAAUCCUUGAAAUAAAGGAUGUUCUUGAUCGGUCGUUGUGUCCCCGAUCGAGUCACUAAUAGUUAGCUCGAUUGGCGGGGAGGUUCUAUAGUUGGUGUUUUGCUUCGUGGAGGAGCAGUCUCACUUGUUGUGGGACCGGUUGGGCCGUUUCGACGGUAUGUCGACUAUCGUGAUUCAAAUUGAACCACGACUUGGUGUUUGGACAGCGUUGAGGCCCAAUGAUCUUGUCAAUUGGCCUUGAGUUGUUGGUGUACUCGAUAAGAUUGUAAGCAAUCUGAGUAGUGCCAUUUGAUGUUGGAGUUUGAGGUCACACCUCAAACGGGUCAUGAUGCUAGGUUGGAACCUCACAUGGAUGAUGUUGCCAAGACUGUAGUACUCCACCAGUGGAAGGGAUUUGCGGAAUGAUAAUCCCGAGCCGUGUGUGGAUUUGUGGACCAGUCGCGGAUGACUUGGGGUAUUUUUAUAGGAUGCGCGAGUUUAGACCGCAUGGGCAUGUUUGAAGCAAUCGAGUUGUGAAACUCUCACUGAUGGAUGGAGAUUCUGUGAGGGGGGAAUGUACCAAGUGCUGAUUUUUUCCCGUGUCUUGAGCUUGUACGAGGAUUUGAGCUCUUCGAGAUAGAACUGCAUAUGAGGACUUAUGGGAUUAAUUUUGGCUUGAUAGUCGCAUCAGAGUGACCUUGAUAGAGAGCUGUUAUCGAACCGUGGAUUGACCCUUCUCUAUUGCGUGAACUGAGCUCGAUGGCUACCGACACCUGGAGCUUCCGUGACUAGGGGAAAGCUUUGAGAUCGAAUCUCUAAGGGUUUGCUUGGACUUGAGUUCGGACUAAGAUAAUAAUCUUAGUGAUUUAAUGAAGCUUUUGAGCUUGGUCCGUGACCAUGUAUUGCGGAGAAUGGAGGGUACUCCCGAGUGGUGAGUUCGAGAUUGAUGUGGAGACAUCGUAGCGCAGUGCCGAAUGAGGAACCAAGUAAUCGCCAUGAUGGGCGAGUUUGGACGACCAGUUGAUUUCUGUUACUCUUGGGAAGUUGGCUACCGUGGUGGUGGAUUUGGAACCGUCCGUGCCCAGCAAGGUUGGACGGAUGAAUGGACGUUGUGAAUGGCAGUGGGAUGGAAAUUACACUGUACUUAAACUGGAUUGGAUUACGCUUAGUUAUGCCAUCUCGAGAAGAGACUUGAUUUAGGAUCAUUGUUGGAAUAUGAGCCGAUUAGCAGAUGUUGCAUCACCUCUCCUCGGUGAGCGUUGAUCUGAUGAGCACUUCGAUGGUGUUUGGAUAGAUGAGUAAAGGAUUUAACCCCCAUAUGCUUGCUUUGGACAGUGCCUUUGAAUCCACCUUAAGGGGCGUUUGGAUGUAAUCCUAUAUACCAGAGUAUUUGAAGCAGAGCAAGGCUUUACCCCCGACUUGGGCGAGAUAGGUGAGAAUUGGAAUUCAGCUUUCGGAAACACUUGAUUCCUGAGAACCGAUUGGAGGACUUGAAAUCAAGCGCGGAUUGAAGAUGGAACUUUCGGUGAAGACUUGAGUUCAAGGAGCUUAUGCGGAAGUUUGGGUUGUGUUAUGCCAAAGCCUUGGCGUCGCGAGAUCUUGUUGUGUUUGCGCCUUGGAGUUUUCCGGCACACCUGUGACCAUCAUGGUCUGUUUGGGGAGCUGCUGGAGCGCUUCUUCCAUCAUCUUCGGAUGGGUUUGUUGUGUGGUUGACCCGCAGUUUCGCGGACGAAACUCCUUUUUAGGAGGGGAGAAUGUAACACACUGGACCUUUGCAAAUUGCGAGGUUCGAGUGUUUGGAUUGUGUCCUGAGCUUUUCCAGAUUUUCUGGUGGAUCGUUGACAGUGUUCCGACCUAUGGUUCGAAUCCCGAGAAUUGUAGUAUUUUAUGUAGCGCUAAGGUCACUAAAGAGUUGGACUUAGCCUACCGUCGGAUUGCAUUCUGCACGAGGUGUAACCGGUGACAGGUCGAUGGCUGUACCGGUACACAUUUUGUACCUGUACACUUCUGAUGGUUGUACCGGUACACUUGCGGCGAAUUUCGAACCCGAGCCUCGGGUUUGCAUUUUCGUAGGAUGUGUACCGGUACACUUUCCCGUGUACCGGUACACUUUGGCAGUUUUCGAACAGUUCGAACUGCAGGGGUGUUUUUGCAUUGUUGCACCUCUAUAUGAUACCCCACGCCUCCCCUUUGGUUUCCUGAGCCCAGAACUCAGAGGAAACAGGUGAGAGAGCUCCUCCUUGCCUCAUUUUGGAUUUCAUCUUCCUUUUUCUUGGUUUUUAGGUGGUUUUUGCUCUCUUUUGCCUUUUAGAGCAUUUCCCACCAUUGUUGGAGGCUUGGAUCUUGGAGAGGAGCUCAUUGGAGAGGAGAACUUCAACCCUAGUUGGUUUGGGGCCUUGUUGGGAGCUUCUUAAGAGGUUAGAUGCUUGUUCUCUCCUCUUGAUUUGUAUUUUGAUGGUGGAUUUGAGAUGAAACCCUAGAAUGUGAGUUUAGGGUUGAUUUUGGGCAUUUUGAUUCUUGGGCCUUUUGAGCUAAAUUGAUUGGAUUAGAACCUUUAUCUAGGUUGCAUUGGAAGGGAUCUAGCUUCCAUUUGGAGCUUAAAAGGGAUUUUCUACACUUAGGUGAGAUUUUAGCCCUUUUUGCCUUGAUGGUUAAUGUUUGAGUUUCGGGUUGUUCGUUUCGUUUGGGUAACCCUCGUUUUGAUGCUUCUAGGGUACUAGGAGUCUUGUGGGCACCUCCGUUCGGCGAAACGAAGGUUUCGAUUUUGGUGGGUUUGGCCUCACCUAGAUGAGAUAAACUUCUCAUAUGAGGGUUUUUAUUUAUCGUAAAGUGAAAACGCAUGCAUAUUCUUAUUGGAUAGAAUAUUUGAGAAUUUUAGAAUGCUUAAAUUGCACAUGUCAUAUACCAUGCAUAUUUGACCUCUAUAUAGUAGAGAGUCUUCAUGUUGGGCUAGGGGCCUAUGGUUAGCAUUCUUACGUUGAUUGAGAUCACGUUGCAUACGGUGCAUAUGGCAUAUAGAUUACACUCUUGGACUUAGAACGCAUGAUUUACAUGGUUGGACAUAUCGACAUUAAGUGACAUAGGCUAGAGUGUAUACAAAUAGUAAGCUAAUGUCAUAAAGCGGCAUUGGGCUUGGACUAGAUAUGGACUUAGCAAGCUAAUGUCAUAAAGCGGCAUUAGACUUGAUGGAUAUGUAAAUUGCAUGUGCAUGUUAUUACUAUGAGAAUUAUGCCAAGUUAAUAGUUGCAAUGGAAAGAACAUACAUGUAGCAAUAUGAGAACACGCUAGAGAGCAUGUGUACUAAUCUAUUAUUGAUAGAACAAGCUAACGUCUUAAAGAGACAUAGAAUGUGAAUUGAGCUUAGAUUAUAGCAAUGUUUAAGUGUCAUAAAGAGGCACUAAACAUAGUGAAUGUGGGAACUUCCCCUUGAGAUUUGGACUUAGUAAAGCUAAGGUCAUUGACAUCGAAAUUAUUGAACGGUUAAACCUUCACUUGAGGCAUAGACUAGACACUGGGGUUGCUAGUGUGCAUUUCCAUGUUAGAGACAUGAUGACUGUUGAGUUGCAUUUUCAUGUUGGAGACAUGACGAUUGGACUAUUGAGGUUUUGACCAUGCUUGCUUGCCAUUUGUGCUCAUACGCACAUGCUUGUGAGGGUCGCUCCCCACAAGCCGGCACUCCGGAGUUAGCCUACGCGACUUAUGUUCGCCCGUGCGGUAUCGAGUAGCCUACGGGGCCUGGAGGGAUAGACUCAUUCCUAGAGUGGGAAUGCUGGAGCUACCACUGGCACUUAGGCGGCACAAGCCGGACUACACCCGUGUAGAUCCUGAAUGAGAUUGAACCAGAAUACUAAACAACAAUUGACAAUCACUACUAGAUAGGUUAUAGUAGCUGAAUUUUCUUGACAUGCUAUGGGAUAGGGUUGGACUUUUGGGAUAUUUAGUGUACUUGACAUUAUCGCUUAUUGCAUUGUAGUACACCUUGCUGCCAGGAUAGUACAUACUAGAUAUGUAGUGGGCUCUGGAAUAUAUAUAUCACACUUUAUAGCAUUACUUGUUGCAUCACGACACAUUGUUUAAGUUUUGGGCAUAUUGGAUCAUGUAGAGUAGAUGUACUCCAUGUUGACAUUCAGAAUACUUGUGGCAUAGUAGAGUAGCAUUUUAAUUUCAUGCUUCAAUUACUGUUGAUAUUUUCUGUUAUCAUUAUUUGCUCGUUUGGGGCCUAGUGGUGCGAUUUGGUGCAGGUCAGUAAUUGCCCACUGGGAACUAUAAUUUAUAGUUCUCACGCCCCCUGUUUUAUGUUUUCUUUCAGAGCCUUCCACUCCGGGAGAGGCUCGGGAUCGCGGGAAAGGUUUCGCCUCGAGUUAGCUAUCGAGGGACUUGGUGAUAGGUGGCCCACCUCUCUUUUGUUUUCUUCUAGAGAGGUUGUGAGAGUUUUGUACCUGGUUAUAGAGACCAUCCUAUUUUUGUAUCUUGAGACUUAUGAUGUAUCAGUUUACUUUAUGCUUAGUAGUAUGAUCUUCUUUUGAUUCUACCUAAUGUUAGAACCUAGCUAUAUACUUGCUCUGAUAUCUCUAGUUGUAGAUCUUCUCUUGCUUUACUCUUCCGCUUUUGUGUAGACGCCUUAUAUGUGUAGACAUAUGGCGGGUCUGGGCGCGCACCGGGCGGGCCUAUGCCGGGUCCCGGGGCGUGACAGAGGUGCUGUCCGUUCGGCGUCUGUUCGACGUAUCCGAACUGGCCAAAUAGGAUUGAGUUCGGGGCGUGACAGCACGGCAUGUUCCUCUCCUACCGAGGGAUCCCUAACCGCGGGUGCACGGCAUGGUUCCUCUCCUAUCGGGCUGCUCGGUAUAUGGAUUGUAGGCUGAGGUGCACGGUAGGUUCCUCUCCUCAGGUCUAGAUACGAGCGGUAUUCCGCUGGUGAUUGACUCGAGGCUGAGUCGAAUGGUAUAGCUUGGCUAAGGUAAUACAUACCUUAGGAGCAGAUUGGAUGAGCUAUGGAUAGUGAAAUAGAAAGUAGAAAAGGUAGAGCUACUUGCAUGAUUUCAUUACCGCAUUUUUCUUGAGGAAAUAGCAUGAUUUAUUUCUUGCAUAAAAAUAUAUGUGUAUAUUUGUUGGACUAACGUGUUAUGUUGCCUCGUUUGGACCUGGUGGGUCGAGCUUUUUCCUUGGGUGGCCGUACCCACUAGGAAUCCCCAUUUUUGCAGGUCCUCACGUGAGUGGCGCCGUAGCGCGAGAAAAUGAUGUAGCUCUGUAGAUAGCGCCCUACCACUGAGACCAGAGAUAGAAAUACCCUAAGUCGGCAUAGCUUAGGGUAUAGGAAAGAAUGGAACGAACUGAAACAAUUUUAAUAAGGUUUAUUGUAUUUGGAAACAAAAAAUGUAAAUAUAAUGUAAUUUGAAAUUAUGACGAAUGCUUGUAAUAGCAUAGUUGUUUUAUAUUUUUGAUACCUUUCUUAUGCAAUCGAUGUAUGAAUACUGUUCCUAUUUGAAACCACUUGUAUUGUACUGUUUACGACGUUUAGGACGUACAAGGGAGAUUCUGUCCAUUCGGCGGUCUGUUGGUGUCACGCCCCGAGACCCAGCGGAAGCCCGCCCGGCGCGUGCCCAGACCCGCCAUAUGUCUAAAACAUAUAAGGCGUCUAAAACAAAACGAUAAAUAAGGCAAAAAGAGAGAAAACAUCUAGCUGUAUCAGAGCAAAGUGUAUCUAUGAGCUACAAUAAAAGAAAUGAACAUAAAGCCGAAAGUCCACUAGAUAAAAGCAUGAAGUAGUACAAAAAGAAUCCCAAAUACUACUAAACAUAAAAACAUGGGUGGUCUCUAUACAUGAUAACAAAACUCUCUCUCUCUCUCUCUCUCUCUCACAAAAACGAAAAAGAAGAGAGUGACCACUUAGGAGCAACAGCAAGCUCCGCUAUCUAGCUAUGCGACUCCCUUGCCGCGAUCCCGUACCUCCGCCGAUGCCGAAGGCUCUGAAAAGGAAACAUAGAAAUAGGGGCGUGAGAACUAUUAAAUAAUAGUUCCCAGUGGACAAUUACUGACUUCAGUGAAAUGUGCCACUAGGCCCGAAAGCUUCAAGAAGGGGGUCAGUGUAUAAGUAUAAACAAAAGCGAUAAGUACAACUAAUAAAUAAACAUGAAUAUCUGCUACCACAAGAUAUUUCUACUUAGCAUGAUUUUGCUCAAGUAAUAAAAAUGCUACACUAGCAUGAAUGUGCCAAAUCAUCACUAGUAUGAUGUCCAUAAGCUAAUUAGUAAAGAUGUCAUUGUUUACUAUUCUAGUCAAUGUCCACAUGGCAUGAUAAAUGCUCCAAGUCAAAUCUGAAGAGACCCGCCCGAAGGCUGUCUGGCCCUGAGACCCACCCGUAGGCUGUUUGGCCGGUGCCGAGCCUAAUGGCCCCAUGGUAGUCAACAUCCCUACUCUAGGAAUGAGCCUUUUCCACGGCAAUCCACUUCGGCGUCCAAUCCCGCACGGCGAAUAGGUAUCGCGAUGGCCAUCUCCGGAGUGCCGGCUUGUAGGGAGCGACCCUCACAAGCAUGUGCGAAUGAGCACAAUGGUAAGUAACGUAAGAUCCGUCUCAAGUACCAAGUCCUCAUGUCUAACAACAUGGAAUAUGUCACAUAUCUCAAUGGCCUAUCUCUAAGUCAUCAUGUCUAAACAUGAAAGUAAUAGAUAUCAAAGGCCUAUCACUAUGUCUCAUUAUAGCAGUUUCAUAGUUACUAAGUCAAGUGCCCCUUUAUGACACUUUAAUCGCUAAGUCCAAUCAUAGUGUAGUGUUUACAAUUACACAGUUAUGAGUUAACUUUAACAUAAGGGACAUGAUUCCCAUUACUAUCUCGAACACUUUUCACAUGCAUGAAAAUUACCCAGUAUGCUCUACUAUAUAGAGUGAAAUUUAUUUUACACAUAGCACAUGCAUUUUAAGUGUUCUAAAAUUCACAUAAAUCCUAUCUAGCAUGGAUUUGCAUUCAAAUUGACGUUACGACAAGUAUAGAAUACAUAGGGGCCAUUUCGCCCCGAUUUCAUGAAGUCAAACCCACCACAACUCUUGCAACUCUUCGUAAGCUCCGACAAAGAUGCCUACUAGUCUCUUAGCACCCUAAAGAUGUAGGAACAAGAGUCAAACGAACCUUACGAACAAUACUAAGCUCAAUCUUUAACCAUCUAGGUAUAGAGGGCAUAACUCACCUCUUGUGUAGAAAUCCCUUCUCAAGCUUCCAAAAAGAGCGAGAACCCUUCCAAACCAACCUAGAGGAAGGUUCUAAACCAAUCAAUUGGGUCCCAAAGCCCUCAAAUCAAAAAUCCCCAAAAUAAAUCCUAAAAUCCAAAUCUAGGGUUUCAUUUAGUUUAAAGCUUCAAAACUAGGAUCUAGAGGAAGAAAACUAGCCACUUACCUCUAAAAUGCUCUAAACCAAGCUCAAAAUCCUCAAGGGUUGAAGAUUGAUCCUCCACAAGGCUCCAGCCACCAACUCCAAGCCACCAAAGGUGAGGAACUAGGGAGAGGAAGAUGCUCCAAGGCCUCCAAGCUUGCUCUCCUUCUACUUCUUCUUCUUCUCCUUCUUCUUCUCUUUCUAGAGAGUGUAGAGAGAGUGUGAAGGAGAGAAAUGAGGGUGAGAGGGAGAGGAAGUGACCUAUAAGCCCUCUUAAGCAACAAAAUCCACAUAGGCCCCUCAACAAUGCAACCUGUGCACUAUCCUGACUGGACCAUUUUCGGGCUGAGGGACUGGUCUCCCCGCACCUGGGACCGGUCUCUCGGACCCUCCCGCAAAACACACGUUCGAAAACCGGUCUCUCCUCGCAUGGGACCGGUCUCUCCCUGCGAAAACACGCUCGGGGACCAGUCCCAUCCGCCAGGGACCGGUUGCCUCGCAGACUGCCGCAACACUGUUCCGAGAGGACCGGUCUCUCCUAUCAGGGACCGAUCCCCGAGAGUGAAAACUCUCAGGACUUGCCAAAACUCCAGAAAUCGAACUUUUAGGUCGCAAUACCAUCAACGAUCUUCCACCAAGUGUGAAAAUGUUCAGAAUCCAUAUCAAACACUCGAACCUCGCAAUUUGCACAGGUCCAGUGUGUUACAGUUGGCGUGCCCGAAUCCUACCAAAGUGGCGGAUUGUCGGGGCGUGAUAGUUUUCUCCCUUUUUCUCUCUAAGAUUUCUCUCCCAAACUCUCCUAGAUUUGGGUUUGAUCUUGUUUUCUCCUCCCUUUCCAUGGUGGCUUGCUUGGUGAACCCUAGAGGAAGGUUGGAAGUGAAGAAGGGAGCCUUGUUGAGGAUUAAACUCCAAUCCUAGCUCAAGAUAGCUUGAUUUGGAGAUUUCUUGAAGGUUAGUACUCAUCUUGCAAUAUCUAUUUAUAGAUUUUAUAAGAUUUAUAGAUGAAAACCUAAUUUUGCAGAAACUAGGGUUCAUUUUUGGGGGUUUUUGAUUUUGAGCUUUUGUGGUGGAAUUGAUGAGUGUAGAACACUUUUGUAGGUUGGAGUUGAAGCUCCAUUGGGUUGAUUUGAGCCUUGGACAGGUUUUACUUGAUCAAAGGUAAUUUUCACCUCUUUUUUUCUUUGAUGUUUGAUGAAUUUUGUAUGAUAUUCGUUCGAAGCUUGUAGCCCUCUUAGAAAUUCUUUUAGGGUGCUAGAACCUUGGUGGACAAUUUCGUUCGAAGGAACGAAAGGGUUCGAGUAUCCGGUGGGUUUGACCUCACCGAAAUGGGUGAACUCUCUCUAUGUCUUCAAUGAUGUCUUUAGACUUAAUUAGAUGCAUGUUCAUGCUAAAUAUGUGUCACGCCCCGCCCCGAAACCACUACCAUUUUGGCACGAUUCGGGCGCGGCGAGUGGACCGCUAAACGGACAGCACCCCUGUUCGCCCAAGGCUCACAACAAGAAUGUGUACAAGAAUUUCCCAGGAAUUUAAAUUCUAAACAUACACAUUCAACGGGGCACGAAUAGUGCCAGCAACUACAAGAGCAAGUAAUCCACAAGUAAAAACAAGUGAAAUAAAGAGAGUACUUUGCUAACUAUUACAAUAGUUCCCCCUUUUCAUUUACAUCAUUUUCUUUAAAUGAUUACAUCACUCAUCCAAAAUACAUAGCUCUCCAAAUCCUCACCUACAAUGAAUCUCUCUCAGUACAUAGGUGUGCUAAUGCAAAAAGGAAAGCUACUAUACUACCACGGUCUCACUGGUCGGGCGCGAUGCCCUUGCCGCGGUCCUCUCUCGGCAACCCUAUACCUACCACUAGAAAUAGAGUGGGGUGAGAACUAUCUUCCAUAGUUCCCAGUGGGCUCGGCCGCCGACUUUGCCGAUCUCCCCACUAGGUCCAAGUGGGCACAAGCAACAACAGAUAGAUAGAUAGAUAGAUAUCUGAAAGCUGUAAAUGCAAUAGUAGGAAAACUAUGCUACUAUGCCUAUAAUCAUAUGUAAUGAAUGGAUGCAUUAUACAGCAAGGGUUUACUAUCAUGCUAACAAAUUCGAUCCAUGUUCGAAUAAUAAUGUUCAAUAACAUUGUUCACUAUUUUUUUACCCAAUCUGUGGCUAAGCCCUCGGAUUCGCCAAUAACUCACCUUUCAAUCCCAAAGUGGGGAGGGAGCUCCAAGUGCACCCAAGCCCGGGACAGUCUGCGGACCUCCAUGUGGUCCGGACCUCCAAGUGGUCCUAGUCGCACGACACUCCGGAGUACUCGACGACAAUCCCCUCCAUGUGGGGAUAGGGAUGGCUAUACCAUCCCAAAAGAAGACUGUGAGCUAGAUCUAUCCUCUCCAAGUGAGGAUACCCUACAACUAGGGUCAACAACCCAAUCAAAUCCUCUCCAAGUAAGGAUGCUCUACAACUAGAGUCAACAACCGAAUCGAAUCCUCUCCAAGUGAGGAUGCCCUACGACAAGGGUCAAUGUCUAAAUAACUCAUCAACAACCUCUCCAUACAAGGGUACUUAAGGAAUGGAGCCACUAUGCAAUCCUACAAUGCAACAUGUAAGAGAUGAGAUUAAAUGCAAUCUAAGACAUAGAAAGAAGUUCGAAAGCUUUGGGAUGGCACCCCCCACCUUUUACCGAUGUAGAGGCUUUAAAAACGCUCCUCGGCGAACCUUACGACGAGGUCUCGGCCUUCUUGGUCCAAGACAAGGCUAGAUCGACCGUAUUUCGCCGAUAGCUCCCAAUCCGCUCGACGAAUCGCGAAAUCGACUUCGCCUCCGCGUUUUGUGACCUACUAAUUAGGUUUACAAGGCCUCAAAUGAGAUCAAUCUCAUACUUUACCAAAAACCCCAUUUUGGGUGCCCUAGGGUUCCCAUCUUGCCAUUUGCAAUUUGGAACCCUAACUCUAGCUUUGAUCCAACCAACAAUGGUGCUAGGGGUCUAUUUGACCCCAUUUCCAAAGCUCAAAACCCAAAAAUCCUAAGUUCUACAAGCUAGGGUUUGUAGCUUACCUCUUGGGCUACACCAAUGGGAAGAGGAGAGGGAGAGGGAGAUGUUUAAAGCCUUCUCCUUGAUCUCCUUCUUCUUCUUCUUCUUUUUCUUCUUCUCCUUUUCCUUCCUCUCCUUUUUGUUCUUCUUCUCUUUCUAGAGAGAGAGAGAGGGGGAAAUGAGGGUGAUGGAGUGAGGGGAAUGAGAGAAAGAGAGAGAGAGGCCUUUCCCUUAACCCCUCUCAUGGUCAUUUUGCACUUAAACCCCUCAACUUUCUAUCCCUUACGUAGCCCUCACUGGGCAAAAUUCGCGCGGAGGGACCGGUUUCCCCGACUUGGGAUCAGUCACCGAGAGCCUCCCUCGGGCGCACGCGUUCGGGAACCGGUCUCUCCCCGAGAGACCGGUCCUCGGGAGACCGGUCAUCGCCUGAGAGACCGGUCCUCGAGAGCUUGAUUUUCAGGACUUAGCCAAAUUUCGGCAUUUCUCGCUGGGACCACGUUCGGGGACCGGUCCCUCCCUGCUAGGGACUGGUUGCAUCAAGCAACCCCGCUACACCCAGCCGAUGGAACCGGUAUCUCACCUCCAGAGACCGGUCCCCGAGAGUAACAUCAGCCCAAUGAUGCAGUUUGCACCAUUUGCUCUCGUGGACUCAACUCCAAGGCACUCUUUGUGCUUUGGACAUCUCUAACUUCCCCAAAGGGUAUUCUCUCGACAAAUAGUCGAUCCUGCACGAAGUACAACUCUCGGAUUUCGAGAAUUCGUUUCCUUAUAUCCUCCCUUCCUUAAAAGGAGUUUCGUCCUCGAAACUAAUCCAAUUCUUAACUUUAACUCAACCCAUACCUUACUCCUCACAUAGAUGAGGAUGGUGCUUUCUCAUCAGAUCCUCGAGUUCCCAGGUGGCCUCGAGAUCAUCAUGAUUACUCCACCGAACCUUUACAUAGGGAAUUUCUCGAUUUCUCAACCUUCGCACCUCUCGGGCGAUAAUCCCUACCGGAAACUCUUCAUAGCUCAAGUCCUGCGGUGGAAGCUCGGUGAGGCGUGCGAUGGACGGGUUAGUAUAGGGUAUAUAUAUAUAAUAAUAUAUGUGGAUAAGAUAUAUAUGUGUAUUUUAUACUAUAGUAUGUGUGAUAUAGCGGAUAUAUUGAUGCGUGGUAUAUACUGGUAUUAGUAAUAAGUUAUUAUUAGUGGCAGCCGGGCUGAUUAAUCGCGGGUCGUGAAAGAUAUACGUUGGCGGAGAUUGGAGACAUGAGACACAUUGUGUAUCAUCCGCAAGCUUCGGCAGCAAAGCAAGUCGGUAGGCCACCGUGCCGACUCGCUCCAAUAUUUCAUAUGGUCCAAUGUAUCGGGGACUUAGUUUUUCCCGCACUCCAAACCGCUUCACACCCUGCAUCGGUGAAACCUUCAAGAAUACGUGGUUGCCCACCGCGAACUCUAUAUCUCCUCGGCGCCUAUUUGCAUAGCUUUGUUGUCUCGACUGCGCCAUGAGCAAUCUCUUGCAAGCAAGGCGGACUUUCUCCUCCGCUUCUCGCAACACAUCAGGGCCGAACUCAGCCCGCUCUCCUACAUCGCUCCAAUGUAUAGGAGACCAACACGUCCGCCCGUAGAGAGCCUCGAACGGUGCCAUCUCCACACUAGCAUGAUAACUGUUGUUGUAGGCGAACUCGGCCAUAGGUAGGUGAUCACACCAACUUCCUUUAUAGUCGAUGACACACGCUCGCAGCAUAUCCUCCAGAGUUUGAAUCGUUCUCUCUAUUUGCCCAUCGGUCUGAGGAUGAAAUGCGGUGCUAAAAUCGAGCCGUGUGCCAAGGGCUUCCUGCAGGCUCUUCCAGAAGUGUGAAGUGAACCGAGGGUCACGAUCCGACACGAUCGAUUUCGGUACCCCAUGCAGUCUCACUAUCUCGUCGAGCGCUAACUUGUCACCCGACCACGUGGUGUGGAUCGGCAAGAAGUGAGCCGACUUCGUCAAUCGGUCUACAAUUACCCAAAUUGCAUCGUGGCCGCCCGUUGAGCGAGGCAAGCCGACCACAAAGUCCAUCGAUAUAUUCUCCCACUUCCAAACGGGGAUUGGUAGGCUUUGAAGCUUUCCCGCUGGAAAUCGACGCUCGGCCUUUACUUGUUGGCAUGUUAGGCACAUUGCCACAAAGCGUCCAAUAUCACUCUUCAUUCCCGGCCACCAGUAGUGCAUUUUUAGCCCUUGAUACAUCUUGGUGCCGCCCGGGUGAUCGGCAUAUAGAGAUCGAUGUGCUUCCUUUAGAAUCAAUUCGCGAAGCUCUCCAUCUUUCGGCACACACCAUCGGUUUCGAAACCGAAGCGUAUCAUCGGCAUCUACAUUGAAAUCGCCACCAUGCCCUUUCUCGAUGUUUCGCCGCACCUUUUGGAGUUCUGGGUCUGCAGGUUGCAGAUCUUUGAUCCUCUCCAACAAGGUCGGUUGGAUAACGAGUGCCAUCAACUGAGCUGGAGUCUCGGGAGUAACUACUUCGAGGUCCAGUCGCUCCAUCUCCAACAAUAGGGGUGAUUGAUUCGUAACCCACAUGGCAAGAUUUUUCGCUGACUUCCUACUCAGCGCAUCCGCGACCACAUUUGCCUUCCCGGGGUGGUAGAUGAUAUCAACAUCAUAAUCCUUUAAUAGCUCCAACCACCGCCGCUGACGCAUAUUGAUCUCCUUCUGUGUGAACAGGUACUUCAAGCUCUUGUGGUCGGUAUAGAUCUCACAAUGGGCACCAUAUAAGUAGUGCCUCCACAGCUUCAAGGCGAAAAUUACCGCCGCUAGCCCCUAAUCAUGGAUGGGGUAGUUCUUCUCAUAGCUCUUUAGCUGACGGGAUGCAUAGGCAAUUACCUUCCCGUUUUGCAUCAGUACACACCCCAAUCCAAGAUAGAAGGCAUCGCUGUAGACCACGAAGUCUCCACCCUGCACUGGUAGAGCGAGCACCGGAGUCGAAGUCAAUCUUUGCUUCAACUCUUUGAAACUCCGGUCGCACUCUUCGCUCCAAAUAAACUUGGUGCCCUUCUAGGUCAGACGGGUAAGUGGAGUCACUAUCUUGGAAAAGCCUUCCACAAACCGUCUAUAAUAGCCUGCCAAGCCCACGAAGCUUCGAACCUCUGUGACAUUCGUCUGGCGCGGCCAAUCCUUGAUUGCCUCAACUUUCCUCGGGUCUACAGAAACUCCACCCGCGGAAAUCACAUGCCCUAGAAAUGCAACUUCUCAGAGCCAGAAGUCACACUUCUUCAGCUUAGCAUAUAGCUUCUCCUCCCGAAGGACUUGAAGCACUAUUCUCAAAUGCUCGGCAUGUUCCUCAUCACUACGAGAAUAGACCAAUAUGUCGUCUAUGAAAAUCACAACAAAUCGGUCCAAAUACUCUCUGAAGACACGGUUCAUCAAAUCCAUGAAUGCCGCUGGAGCAUUCGUGAGUCCAAAUGGCAUGACCGUGAAUUCGUAGUGUCCAUACCGCGUGCGAAACACUGUCUUCUGUACAUCCUCCAGCUUGAUUUUCAACUGGUGAUAGCCGGAUUGCAAGUCUAUCUUCGAGUACACACACGACUCCUACAACUGGUCGAACAAGUCAUCGAUUCGGGGUAGUAGGUACUUGUUCUUGAUCGUGACUCUGUUCAAUUCUCGAUAAUCCACGCAGAGUCGGAACGAUCCGUCCUUCUUCCGUACAAACAACACCGGGGCUCCCCACGGUGAUACACUUGGCCGGUUAAAUUGCUUGUCGAGGAGGUCUUGCAAUUGACUCCUCAACUCCUUCAGUUCCGCCGGCGCCA
RNAcentral lists this long non-coding RNA (25828 nucleotides) under Ananas comosus (pineapple). RNAcentral's name for it is "long non-coding RNA (ACOM_LNC002035)". The record is from RNAcentral. Lineage: Eukaryota; Viridiplantae; Streptophyta; Magnoliopsida; Poales; Bromeliaceae.